CGCGUAGGUGGUUGAGUCAGUCAGAUGUGAAAGCCCCGGGCUUAACCUGGGAACUGCACCUGAUACUGCUUGACUAGAGUACGGUAGAGGGCAGUGGAAUUUCCUGUGUAGCGGUGAAAUGCGUAGAUAUAGGAAGGAACACCAGUGGCGAAGGCGACUGCCUGGACUGAUACUGACACUGAGGUGCGAAAGCGUGGGUAGCAAACA
Molecule: ribosomal RNA, 207 nt
Filed under: uncultured bacterium
Lineage: Bacteria
Description: partial 16S ribosomal RNA
Rfam family: Bacterial small subunit ribosomal RNA
Source: RNAcentral